Long non-coding RNA from Stegodyphus dumicola, 149 nucleotides. Lineage: Eukaryota; Metazoa; Arthropoda; Arachnida; Araneae; Eresidae. The record is from RefSeq and is a predicted model, not a curated record.
GCGUGAUGCUACAUUUCUAAAAACGUGAAAUGUGCUUAAUAUAUGAAAUAUGCAUAGAAUUAUAUAAAAUUUUGAAAAGUUUCAAGUAUUCUUUAAGGUAGAUAAAGUGAACUUCAGGUUUUUCUCACUGAUAGUAAAUCUGGAGCCGA